RNAcentral lists this ribosomal RNA (580 nucleotides) under Colletotrichum gloeosporioides. RNAcentral's name for it is "eukaryotic LSU rRNA". The stretch from base 207 to 360 matches the Rfam family "5.8S ribosomal RNA". The record is from RNAcentral. Lineage: Eukaryota; Fungi; Ascomycota; Sordariomycetes; Glomerellales; Glomerellaceae.
GUUCCGUAAGGGGUAACCUGCGGAGGGGCCAUUGUGGCGUUUACGCUCUAUAACCCUUUGUGAACAUACCUAUAACUGUUGCUUCGGCGGGUAGGGUCUCCGUGACCCUCCCGGCCUCCCGCCCCCGGGCGGGUCGGCGCCCGCCGGAGGAUAACCAAACUCUGAUUUAACGACGUUUCUUCUGAGUGGUACAAGCAAAUAAUCAAAACUUUUAACAACGGAUCUCUUGGUUCUGGCAUCGAUGAAGAACGCAGCGAAAUGCGAUAAGUAAUGUGAAUUGCAGAAUUCAGUGAAUCAUCGAAUCUUUGAACGCACAUUGCGCCCGCCAGCAUUCUGGCGGGCAUGCCUGUUCGAGCGUCAUUUCAACCCUCAAGCUCUGCUUGGUGUUGGGGCCCUACAGCUGAUGUAGGCCCUCAAAGGUAGUGGCGGACCCUCCCGGAGCCUCCUUUGCGUAGUAACUUUACGUCUCGCACUGGGAUCCGGAGGGACUCUUGCCGUAAAACCCCCAAUUCUCCAAAGGUUGACCUCGGAUCAGGUAGGAAUACCCGCUGAACUUAAGCAUAUCAAUAGCCCGGAGGAA